UGGUUCUGGCAUCGAUGAAGAACGCAGCGAAAUGCGAUAAGUAAUGCGAAUUGCAGAAUUUCAGUGAGUCAUCGAAUCUUUGAACGCACAUUGCGCCCUUUGGCAUUCCGAAGGGCAUGCCUGUUCGAGCGUCAUUUAUCCUCCCUCAAACCACCUUUUUGGUUUGGCCUUGGACGGUCUGGCGGUGGGCUCACGCCCGUCGCCCCUCCCAAAGAUAAUGACGGCGGCCUCCGUGGGACCCCCGGUACACUGAGUUCUUCACGGGACACGUACUGGAUCAACGGGUGAGACGGGGACGCCGGUCGACCUCUCUCGUCAGAGAGAACUUUUUUACUCAGGUUGACCUCGGAUCAGGUAGGAAUACCCGCUGA
Molecule: unclassified non-coding RNA, 371 nt
Filed under: uncultured fungus
Lineage: Eukaryota; Fungi
Description: partial contains 5.8S ribosomal RNA and internal transcribed spacer 2
Rfam family: 5.8S ribosomal RNA (bases 1-134)
Source: RNAcentral